RNAcentral lists this ribosomal RNA (241 nucleotides) under uncultured bacterium. Its description in RNAcentral is "partial 16S ribosomal RNA". It matches the Rfam family "Bacterial small subunit ribosomal RNA", at positions 99 to 334 of the family's 1533-position model. The record is from RNAcentral.
CGAACGGGUGAGUAACACGUGGGUAAUCUGCCCUCGGUUCUGGGAUAGCCCGGGGAAACCCGGAUUAAUACCGGAUAGCCUCUCGAGCUCUCGGGCUCGUGAGAAAAGGUAGCUUUGGCCUCCGACCGAGGAGGAGCCCGCGGCGGAUUAGCUUGUUGGCGGGGUAAUGGCCCACCAAGGCGACGAUCCGUAGCUGGUCUGAGAGGACGAUCAGCCACACUGGGACUGAGACACGGCCCAG